GCCCAAAGUACGGAAUAGCCUCUGGAAACGGAGAGUAAUACCGUAUGUGCCCUACGGGGAAAGAUUUAUCGCCUUUGGAUUAGCCCGCGUCUGAUUAGAUAGUUGGUGGGGUAACGGCCUACCAAGUCGACGAUCAGUAGCUGGUUUGAGAGGAUGAUCAGCAACACUGGGACUGAGACACGGCCCAGACUCCUACGGGAGGCAGCAGUGGGGAAUCUUAGACAAUGGGCGCAAGUGAUCUAGCCAUGCCGCGUGAGUGACGAAGGUCUUAGGAUCGUAAAGCUCUUUCGCCAGGGAUGAUAAUGACAGUACCUGGUAAAGAAACCCCGGCUAACUCCGUGCCAGCAGCCGCGGUAAUACGGAGGGGGUUAGCGUUGUUCGGAAUUACUGGGCGUAAAGCGCACGUAGGCGGAUCAUUAAGUCAGAGGUGAAAUCCCGGGGCUCAACCCCGAACUGCCUUUGAUACUGGUGAUCUUGAGUUCGAGAGAGGUGAGUGGAAUUCCGAGUGUAGAGGUGAAAUUCGUAGAUAUUCGGAGGAACACCAGUGGCGAAGGGGCUCACUGGCUCGAUACUGACGCUGAGGUGCGAAAGUGUGGGGAGCAAACAGGAUUAGAUACCCUGGUAGUCCACACCGUAAACGAUGAAUGCCAGACGUCGGGGGGCUUGCCUUCGGUGUCACACCUAACGGAUUAAGCAUUCCGCCUGG
This 706-nucleotide ribosomal RNA is filed under the name uncultured bacterium. RNAcentral describes it as "bacterial SSU rRNA". It matches the Rfam family "Bacterial small subunit ribosomal RNA", at positions 128 to 876 of the family's 1533-position model. The record is from RNAcentral.